CAGUCGCCGCGGUAAUACGUAGGUCCCGAGCGUUGUCCGGGUUUAUUGGGCGUAAAGGGAGCGCAGGCGGUCAGGAAAGUCUGGAGUAAAAGGCUAUGGCUCAACCAUAGUGUGCCCUGGAAACUGUCUGACUUGAGUGCAGAAGGGGAGAGUGGAAUUCCAUGUGUAGCGGUGAAAUGCGUAGAUAUAUGGAGGAACACCAGUGGCGAAAGCGGCUCUCUGGUCUGUCACUGACGCUGAGGCUCGAAAGCGUGGGUAGCGAACAGGAUUAGAUACCCCGGUAGUCCCUGUCUCUUAUACC
This 301-nucleotide ribosomal RNA is filed under the name uncultured bacterium. Its description in RNAcentral is "partial 16S ribosomal RNA". It matches the Rfam family "Bacterial small subunit ribosomal RNA", at positions 509 to 808 of the family's 1533-position model. The record is from RNAcentral.